RNAcentral lists this ribosomal RNA (497 nucleotides) under uncultured bacterium. RNAcentral's name for it is "partial 16S ribosomal RNA". It matches the Rfam family "Bacterial small subunit ribosomal RNA", at positions 28 to 507 of the family's 1533-position model. The record is from RNAcentral.
GAUGAACGCUGGCGGCGUGCCUAAUACAUGCAAGUCGAGCGAACAGAUGAGGAGCUUGCUCCUCUGACGUUAGCGGCGGACGGGUGAGUAACACGUGGAUAACCUACCUAUAAGACUGGGAUAACUUCGGGAAACCGGAGCUAAUACCGGAUAAUAUAUUGAACCGCAUGGUUCAAUAGUGAAAGACGGUUUUGCUGUCACUUAUAGAUGGAUCCGCGCCGCAUUAGCUAGUUGGUAAGGUAACGGCUUACCAAGGCAACGAUGCGUAGCCGACCUGAGAGGGUGAUCGGCCACACUGGAACUGAGACACGGUCCAGACUCCUACGGGAGGCAGCAGUAGGGAAUCUUCCGCAAUGGGCGAAAGCCUGACGGAGCAACGCCGCGUGAGUGAUGAAGGUCUUCGGAUCGUAAACCUCUGUUAUUAGGGAAGAACAAAUGUGUAAGUAACUAUGCACGUAUUGACGGUACCUAAUCAGAAAGCCACGGCUAACUACGUG